UCAUCUCUCACCUAACAUUUAUCAUUAUGAUCAUAUUUUUCAGUGUGAUUUUAGUGAAAAUAAAUUUCCUCUAUUUUGAGUUUUCAAAUUCUUGCAUCUUCAACUUCAAUUGAUUUCAAAUCUUGAUAACAAGAGUUCUGAGAUUGAUUGGAGAAGGCGCGUACUUGAAGCUAACCGUUCUUGGAGAUCUUGUUGAGUUUAUCAGAUUGUUAGCAAGAUUGAGGUGAUUGUUAAUGGCGGUGACAAAUUCCAUUGAAAAGAAGUAGGUUC
Molecule: long non-coding RNA, 270 nt
Filed under: Lathyrus oleraceus (garden pea)
Lineage: Eukaryota; Viridiplantae; Streptophyta; Magnoliopsida; Fabales; Fabaceae
Description: Pisum sativum (pea) long non-coding RNA (PSAT_LNC010121)
Source: RNAcentral